RNAcentral lists this ribosomal RNA (250 nucleotides) under uncultured bacterium. RNAcentral's name for it is "partial 16S ribosomal RNA". It matches the Rfam family "Bacterial small subunit ribosomal RNA", at positions 105 to 334 of the family's 1533-position model. The record is from RNAcentral.
CGGAACGGGGUAGGAGGUAAACGCGUGAGGGAAACCGUAGCCUCCAAAGAAGGGGGGACAACAGUUGGAAACGACUGCUAAUACCGCAUAAGCCCACGGCUCGGCAUCGAGCAGAGGGAAAAGGAGCAAUCCGCUUUGAGAUGGCCUCGCGUCCGAUUAGCUAGUUGGUGAGGUAACGGCCCACCAAGGCGACGAUCGGUAGCCGGACUGGGAGGUUGAACGGCCACAUUGGGACUGAGAUACGGCCCAG